Molecule: RNA transcript, 6343 nt
Organism: Nasonia vitripennis (jewel wasp)
Lineage: Eukaryota; Metazoa; Arthropoda; Insecta; Hymenoptera; Pteromalidae
Gene: GABA-B-R3
Gene name: gamma-aminobutyric acid type B receptor subunit 2
Exons: 21
Source: RefSeq, a predicted model, not a curated record
CCGGACUCGCGCCAGUCGCGCAGAGCCAGGCAGGCCAAGCAGUGCGCGCUCCGCAGGCACGCGACGCGCUUCACGGCUUUCGGGGCUGUCCAGCCGCCAGCGCGAGCGCGGAGAACGCCGGAGCGCCGAUCAGCCGCGCGGGCCGCUGUCGCUCUGCCGAUACGGCCGGUUUUGCGCGCACGUGCCUCGAGGGAAUGAUACGAACCGCUCGGCGAGUCGAACACCGAGCCGAUCAACAGCCGAAGCAACUGAGAGGAAGGAUGUGCGCGGACUCGGUGCUGCUGCCGCUGCCGCUGGCGGCGAUCGGCUACGAAGGGACGAGCAAGAGAGCGCCGAGCGCGCAAAGAUGAAAGCAGCAACUCGGAAGUACGGGUUGUGUCGUCGAAAUCGCGACGGCUGAUUAUGUCGCGUACUCGCUCCCGCGGUCGUCUCUCUCGUCUCCGUCUGCCCCCCUCUCCCCGGCGCCUCUCGUGCUUCCUCGGAGCGCUGCUGCCACUGCUGCUGAUGCUCCCCUUCAUCCCGGCGAGCCGAUCCGACAUCGAGACUGACGUGCCCUCCCGAGCGACGGCGGCGGCGAUGGCGGCCUGGAGCCCCUCGACGACAUCAGAGCCGACGUCCGGCAACGAGAGCGGCUACGAGUCCGAGAGCGAGUCCCCGUUCGCCGGCUUCGAGGGCUCGCAGAAGUUCCCGAUGAAGCCCACGGCCCGGCCACUCGCCCCCUCGUCCGCCACGAUGUCCGAGAAGUUCGACAGGCGACACUUCAAGCCGCCCAAGCCCGACAGCGAGGGCCCCGGCCAGCUCGAGCCCUCGACCACGGCCGUGCCGGACCUGCCCAAGAGCCCCAGUCGCGAGGUCAUCCACCGUCGCAGGGACGAGGACGUCGAGGGGCUCGAGGAGCUCCCGAUGCUGCCCGGCCAGCAGGCGCGAGCGACGCUCACGACGAUUACGGCGGACCCCCUCGGCGCGCCGCCCGAUAACGAGACGACGACGACGACGAUCGGCAGGCUACUUACCAGCACGGAGGAGCCCGAGGAGGAGUACGACGCGGCCGAGCUCGAGGCUAUCGUCGACGACAAGUUCGACGGGCGAGUCGAGGUCAAGACGGACAUCACGAUUCUCGGGCUAUUCGAGCUAACCCACGCCAACGAGCCGAGGCCCGAGGGCCCGAGUGAGCUGCAGGCUGCCAAGCUUGCCGUCGAGCGCAUCAACCAGAUGGGCUUUCUGCCGGGAUUCAAUCUGCGGCUCGUCUACAACGACACCGAGUGUGAUCCAGGAGUAGCUGUCGAUCGAUUCUUUUAUGCACUCUAUUCUCCGAAAAAAAGUGUGUUAAUGCCACUGUUAUUGGGGACAGCCUGCUCCGAGGUGACUGAGGCCCUGGCGAAAAUUGUACCCUACUGGAACAUAGUGCAAGUCUCAUUCGGUUCUACAACGCCAGCACUUUCCGAUUCAACGGAAUUUCCCUUGUUCAUGCGUACUGUAGCGCCUGACUCCAGCCACAAUUCGGCCAGAAUCUCCUUGAUCAAACACUUUGGUUGGGAUACCGUUACCACACUCUCGCAAACUGGCGAUAUGUAUUCUUUGGCUGUCAACGAUUUGGUCACGGAGCUGGAACAAGCCAACAUUACGUGCACCGCGACGAUUACCUUUGCUGAAAAUGACUACAAAGAUCAGCUGUUUACAUUGAAGGAGCUAGACACGAGAAUAAUUAUCGGCAGCUUUUCACCGCAGCUGGCUCCGAAGGUUCUAUGCGAGGCUUGGCGGCUGGGCAUGCACGGUGGUGAUUACGCCUGGAUUCUGCCGGACGAUACAAUAGACCUGUCCGGAAUGACAGGCGAUUGGUGGCAUGCUGGACAGGAUGACUGCUCUCCUUCUCAACUUUCGCAAACUAUGAAUGGCAUGAUAAUAGUCAAAAGCCACGCGACUGUUUUUGGCGAUGACGCGAGCUACUCGGGUUUGUCCAGUCCUGACUUUACCUCGGAAUUAGCUAAAAAAGGAGUUUCCGUGUCAAGAUUCGCAGCGCAAACUUAUGAUGCUGUGUGGUCAAUGGCAUUAGCGCUCAAGAGGACUGAAUAUAUCUUGAAUAAAAAAAAUAUCAGUAUGACACAAUAUAAUCACACUAGACGCGACUUGGCUGUCAAACUUCUGAAACAACUCAGACGUCUACAUUUUGUCGGAGUUUCGGGACCAGUGUCAUUCGACGGAGCAGACCGUGUUGGAAUAACAGCUUUCUAUCAGAUGCAAGGGCAUUCCAUUCGAAGAAUAGCCGUUUUCACGCCCGAGGACAGGGAGUUGAUAAUGAACUGCCCAGGCUGCGCGGCAACACUUUGGCCCGGAGGACACCCCCCCGCUGCUCGACGAGUAUUCAGGCUGCGAAUCGUAACGGUGGCCCCAGCGGCGUUCCUGGCGAUGGCCUGUCUUGCCAGUGUCGGAAUGACCUUGGCCCUGGCCUUUCUGGCAUUCAACUUGCACUUCCGUCGACACAAGAGCAUAAAAUUGUCCAGUCCCCGGCUGAAUAACAUGGCAGCGGCCGGCUGCGCUCUGGUCUACGGCGCGGUCAUCCUGCUCGGUCUCGAUCACGCGACCCUGCCGGACAGCGACGGCUAUUUCCCUACGAUUUGCACGGCCCGAGUCUACUUACUGUCCGCUGGAUUCUCGCUGGCCUUCGGAUCCAUGUUCACGAAGACGUACAGGGUUCACCGAAUCUUCACGCGGAGCAGGAGCGGCGUUGUUAAGAACAAGCUGCUCCAAGACACCCAGCUGAUCAGCCUGAUCUGCGUGCUCCUGCUGAUCGACGGCCUGGUGGUGACUCUGUGGGUGACGCUGGACCCGAUGCAGCGGCAUUUGCGCAACCUGACCCUCGAGAUAAGCCCGCAAGAUCGGGCUGUCGUUUAUCAGCCGCAGGUGGAGGUUUGCCGGUCUCAGCACACCAACGGAUGGCUCGGCGCUCUCUACGUUUACAAGGGUCUCCUACUCGUCGUUGGAGUUUACAUGGCCUGGGAGACUAGGCACGUCAAAAUCCCCGCUCUGAAUGACUCGCAGUAUAUUGGGAUGAGCGUUUACUCGGUAGUAAUAACGUCGGGGAUUGUGGUGGUUCUGGCGAAUCUCAUGUCCGACCAAGCGACGCUGGCCUUCGUCACCAUAACUUCCCUCAUACUAGCCUCGACGACGUCAACGCUGGCUCUACUCUUUCUGCCGCAACUAGCCCACAUACUCGCUGGCGAGAGGGCCGAUCCCGUGGUUCAAAGCUUAGGCUUGAAAAUCGAAUGCAAUACCAGAAGAUUCGUCACGGAUGACAGGAGAGAGUUACAGUACCGUGUCGAAGUACAAAACAGGGUUUAUCGGCGUGAAAUGGCUCAACUGGAGUUAGAGCUCGCGAGGCUGGAAAAGCAGUUGAGUCAAGAUCCCGUAGAUCCGUCACAUGUUUCUUCGAGUGCGUCGAUUCCUCAGCGAAAUCCAAGUAUAAGUGGUGGUUUGCCUAUGCUCCUGCUCAGCGUUUUACCUCCAGUCAUACCGAGAGCCAGUUGGCCAUCUGCUAAUCCAUCUAGCAUGCGUCGCGGAACCGUAGCGUUUAGCAGUCAGCCGGAUCUGGAGCCGAACGGCCCUCGGCGAAGCCUGGCCGACAUCUACAAGCUCCAUCAGCGCAGAGAGACCGAGGGACCGAACCGACUCGGGGUCUUUCAGCGACUCUUCAGCCUCUUCGGCAGCCGACCCAACAGCAGGAAAACCUCCACGGCCUCGUUCACAGGAGUGGCCUCGGCACUGCGAGUCCACAUGGGCUACAUAGCGGGCCUGGUGCCCGGCACGAAGGCGGCCUCCAGCUGCCAAGUGGACGCCCAGGGCGCGCGCUCCUCGCAGCUGCGCUGCGGCUCCGGCCCGAUCAUCAGCAUCACCAGCGAGGAGGACCGCCGGCUCAGCCUCGGACUGCGCCGCAAGGAGAGCAGCGAGCCCAAGGUCAACUUCAAUCUGCCGAAGGGGAGCUCGAGCUCGUCGCGCGAGAAGAUCCGUGGCUCGCCGCGCUUCCCGCACCGCAUCAUGCCGGCCAACAGCCUGGGCACGAUAGGCCCGAGCCAGCUGAGCGCCCUCGGCACUCCCCACCGCUGGCACUCGAUGGAGGACUCAUGGAAGCCGCGCCUGCAGCCGAGCUCCCGGGACCUCAGCGUCCUCAGUCCCGCCGGCGACGACGCCAAACUCGACAGGGACCUGCGCGAGCUCUUUCGCGAGAACAGCCUUGCCGACUCUGAGAUAGUGGAGCAGAGCGAAGUCGAGCACGAGAGAUCGCAAAGCCCCGUGAUCGUCAUAAUGAAUGUCGAGAGCGAAGUCGUCAGCGCAACCUGCGAGCUGGACCCCCAAGACUGCAACGGCGACGAGCGGCGAGAUGAUGCGCUAUCUCCCGGGACCAUCGACGAUCAGUCCCGAGAUCAAGGAUCUGAUGCGGAUUGAGAGCAGUGCUUUAUUCGUUGUUCCCUAUCCUCUCAUCCACAUUUCACAUUGUUCCCUUCCGUAUUACAACGUGCCAAAAUAGUCCAUGGACCGUGGCGGCCUAUACUUAUGUACGCGAACUCGCAAAGUCUAUGAAAAUAUUUGGAUUGAACAACGAGAAGCUAAAAGCUUCCUAAAAUAUGUAAAUUCUCUCGUCCCUAUAUAUGAAAAACAACUUGCAGCCCUGCUGAAAAUCAAAGCUUACGCAGAAACCCGAGAUUCUACAAGAAUGACUGGCAAUAAAACAUUGUUCAUUAGAUAGAUGAUUGUUUGAAAUGUUGCAAAAGGCGUAUUUUUGGCGGGCGAUACCGUGCAAAGCGCGAUAUAUUAUUAUUAUUAUUAUACUUGUAAGCAAUUAUUUGACCUACAUUUUUUAUCUGAUAAAAAUAAACAAACGUUCACUAUAGUGCUGAUCCUUCCAGGAUUCCCAGGAAUUCAUGCAGAUGUUUUUCAAGAUCUUCGAGUGAAAAUAGAUCAUCCCCUUUUUCGCUCGAACUCCUGGUAGACAAUUAACCAUACAUUCUGGCCAGAAUUAUCAAAUAAACUUCAUUCAGAAAUUCUUGUCAGAAUCCGGUUAAUAUUCGACCAGGGACAACAUCGCGAUUAGCACCUGCAUCUCUGUAUAAUUAUAAAUAAAACAAAUAUGUUGCGAGUGUAUCGUCACAGAAAAUUUACAGUGCGCGCGACCAUUAAUAAUAUUAGAGACCAGGAUCAGUCAGUAAUAAACGGUUUCGAGUGAUUCCGGGGGACCAAUCAACAAAAUCUUGUUCAACUUCGUUCACGAUCGGCCAUAGCAAAUAAGAACGAGAAACAAUAAAGUGUUAAUCUGAAUUCUUGAUGUCGGCUGACAUGGCGUGUGCGCUUGUGUUGUUGCUUAUUUUGCAAUAUAAGAAUUUAACGUUGUUGACAAUUACACUGAACAUUAACAAUACAGUAGUUUUCUCUUCUGUUCCUCACUAUAUUGCCUCGACUAUCAUACUUAUGGAAAUUCAACGCGUAUAUAUUACAGUAUUCACUGCAGAAACGUCUGUAAUAACUGUAUAUAAGUGUUUUAAGUGUGUAAAGUGAAAAAUCUGUCAUUUUUGAUAAAUUUUAACGAUCUAGCGCUUAAUCAGUCACUUAGAAGUAACACAUGUAUAUAAUAAUUAUAAAUUAUUAGUCUAUAUCUCUGUAAACAUUCGUACUGUGCAAUCAUACGUAAUCAAAUAGGAAUGCAGCUAUUGUAUCUAAUCGUAUUUGUACACCAUAUAUAAUUGCGGUGGAUAACAGCACAUCUAUAAUUUGUGGUACAGUGUGGAAGUUUAUUGAUGUACAAUGAUCAAUAACUGCUCUAAGUAAAGAUUUAUAAUUUGACAUUAUUUUAAAAUCCACGAUGUUUAAUGAAUAAACAUAUUGACAUGUAUUUCAUUUAAUGAAAAAUACAAGAUAUAAGUACCUCGAGGAACUCGGAGAAAAACAAGAUUAAAGUGUUCAAAAACUCCAACGCCCAGUUCUAUAGUACCGGCCCAUCGAAACCUUAACGUUUUGAAAACGUUUUCGCGUUUAUUUGAAAAGAACUAAGUACUAGAAAAUGAUAUAAUAAACGUUAUAUUUCAAUAAUCAAUUUAUAAAUAUAUAACGAAAGUUUAUAUUUUUACGUUACGCUGUGUUAUAAAAGUGUAAUAUAUGCAAUUGUAUAAAAAUUAUUUUAAAACGUCGUUAGUUCUAACUCAGCCAAGCUGAUUUUCAGUGACAUGAUGGGUUUUUUCGUAACUCCGUGUCUCAAUGUGUAAAUCGUCUGAUUCUCUACGUACUUUAAGCAAUAAUCAGCGUCGACUGUGCAAUAAUCGUUAAAGAUGAUACAAUAAAAGAAACAUCUAUAUUA